Lolium perenne is the source of this 1720-nucleotide long non-coding RNA. RefSeq lists it as uncharacterized. The record is from RefSeq and is a predicted model, not a curated record. NCBI's taxonomy places the organism in Eukaryota, Viridiplantae, Streptophyta, Magnoliopsida, Poales, Poaceae.
GGCGCGGAUCGAGCAUGGAGUUGCAGCGUGCAAAGAGCUAAACCUAGAGCUCUGAUACCAUGUUGUGAAUGAGCUACUAGUAUUCACAGAGGACCAUAGGCCAGUACAUGUACAUGUGUGACAAUGUGCAGGUAAACCCCUCAUACACUGGAGAAUAACAGAAAAGGGACUAUAGAACUCUAACACUAAUCACGUGGCCGACCGCGUGCGGAGUCGUGGUAAUAUUUUGUCUUUCACCGGCACAAAGUAUCUGGAUUCAGCAUCUCUGUACCUCUAUACAUAGCACCUCACAGCUCUCCUGGAAAGUCCACGCGCUUCUCUGAUAUCUUUGCUGGCCUCCAGAUUCAGAUUUCAGUAACUAGCGAUCGAUCUGAAGCUCGAUCCGGCACCAUCGAUCUGAAGCUCGACCCGCCCGCGUGAACGGUGAACCCUGUAUCAGGGGAAUGCUUGGGAAUGGGAUGGUCGCCGUAAACAUGUUCAAUGAAACGCUCGAUAUUCUUGAGAACAAAUACAAUGAAGAGGUCGGUUGCUUAAUGAAGACGAAGCACAAGAAUUUAGUGUGUUUUCUAGGUUCUCGGACAAGAGGAAUAAUUGUAGACUACGAGGGAGCAUCUUCUAUACUUGUAUGGAGAAAGUGUCAUGAAGUAAUCAAGAGAAUUUGUGAGGGUUUAUAUCAUCUGCAUGUGAAGCAGCGUAAUGUCCACUUGAAUCUGAAACCAGGGAACAUAUUGUUGGAUGAUAAUAUGGUACCAAAAAUCGCUAACUUUGGACUACAUUUCAAGUUAGACAUAUACAGCUUGGGUGUUAUAAUCAUAAAGAUACUAUCAGGGGUUGCCUGAUUGGUUGUCUAAUGAAGGCGAAGCACAAAAACAUAGUACGAUUUUUGGGAUAUUGUGCUGACACACAAGAGAUAAUUAAAGUUAGUUAUGACUUUUAUAUCAAAGAGGUUGCUCUGUUUCGAGUAUCUACCUAAAGGAAGCCUUGAUAAGUAUAUUAUUGGUAUAUCUUCUGAAUCGGCGUAUUUUCCACUCAGACCGUACACCUGCAAACAUACUGUUAGAUGAGAAUAUGGUACCAAAAAUUACUGAUUUUGGUCUCUCAAGAUGCUUUGAUGAAAAGUAAAGCCAGGCUUAUACUUGAAAUUCAAAAGAAACCUUGUAAGCUAUUAAUGAAUUCUAGCAAUCACUAUAGGAAUGGUGACAGACGCCGACGGCCAGAGUGUACGCCGACGGCCAAAUGUCGGGGACGUCGGCGUACGGCCUCGCCGGGCCAGCUCGAGACGCCGACCGUCGGCGUAUACAUACCGUCGGCGUACAUGUUCCUACGCCGAGGGCUGCCCUCGGCGUAUACCUGGCCCUCGGCGUAGGCAAUAGCAUCGUGCAUGUUCCAGCGGCGGCGUGACGGCCCUCUCACGGCGUCACACAGAGGCCGACGGCCACCCUCGGCAUAGGGCAUGGCCCCCCUAUGCCGACGGCCACCCUCGGCGUAUACGGUUUUUUUUUUCUUUUUUUCACUCUCAUAUUACUUUAUAUUAUGUUUCUAUUAUGUAUUUACUAGUAUGAAUUAUGUAAAAAAGGUUCUAUUUUUUAAGAAUUUGUAGAUGGCAUAUAUGUAGGUCCCACGGGUGACGCUCUUCGCAGACGGGUCAACCGGAGCCACUAGGCCCAACUUCUGCUAUCGAUGUACAUAUGUCCUUAAACAUUUAGGAAAAAUUCCAUUG